AGGAAGCCCGGCAGCGCAAGGUCAAGUUCACUUUGGCCUGGGCCCCCAGCGCGGGUCACCACUCGUUAGUCCCGGAGCUGUUGGACCAGAGUGGGCCCUGCGACCAGCGAAGGUCGGUCCCCGCCCCGGUUCAGCUCAGGGGUCCCCUCCCCCCUAGUCCCCCGAGAUUCGGUGCUGCUGCGGAGCCCCGCGACGCGCAGACAGGGUGGCCACUGCAGUAGGUGUGGAUGUGUGUGACAAGAUGAAGAACCGAAUCCCUGUGGUGCUUCUGGCCUGUGGCUCCUUCAACCCCAUCACCAAUAUGCACCUGCGCUUGUUUGAAGUGGCCAGAGAUCACCUACACCAAACAGAGAGCUAAGAGUCCAUCGUGGAGAGAAGCCUGGCAGCAAGCAGCAGGCCUGGUGGAAGAGCCAAAACCUGAGAGCUCCUAUCUCCAAGUCCAGGCAGGAAGCAGAGGCAGUAAACUAGAAAUGGAUGAUGCCUCAAACACCCCUGUGUUCUAGUCUGUUU
This is a long non-coding RNA of Nannospalax galili (Upper Galilee mountains blind mole rat), 510 nucleotides long. RefSeq lists it as uncharacterized. The record is from RefSeq and is a predicted model, not a curated record. NCBI's taxonomy places the organism in Eukaryota, Metazoa, Chordata, Mammalia, Rodentia, Spalacidae. The transcript is spliced from 3 exons.